AGCACUUUAUACUGUGAAACUGCGAAUGGCUCAUUAAAUCAGUUAUCGUUUAUUUGAUAGUACCUUACUACAUGGAUACCUGUGGUAAUUCUAGAGCUAAUACAUGCUAAAAACCUCGACUUCGGAAGGGGUGUAUUUAUUAGAUAAAAAACCAAUGCCCUUCGGGGCUCCUUGGUGAUUCAUAAUAACUUAACGAAUCGCAUGGCCUUGCGCCGGCGAUGGUUCAUUCAAAUUUCUGCCCUAUCAACUUUCGAUGGUAGGAUAGUGGCCUACCAUGGUGGCAACGGGUAACGGGGAAUUAGGGUUCGAUUCCGGAGAGGGAGCCUGAGAAACGGCUACCACAUCCAAGGAAGGCAGCAGGCGCGCAAAUUACCCAAUCCCGACACGGGGAGGUAGUGACAAUAAAUACUGAUACGGGGCUCUUUUGGGUCUCGUAAUUGGAAUGAGUACAAUCUAAAUCCCUUAACGAGGAACAAUUGGAGGGCAAGUCUGGUGCCAGCAGCCGCGGUAAUUCCAGCUCCAAUAGCGUAUAUUAAAGUUGUUGCAGUUAAAAAGCUCGUAGUUGAACCUUGGGUCUGGCUGGCCGGUCCGCCUCACCGCGAGUACUGGUCCGGCUGGACCUUUCCUUCUGGGGAACCUCAUGGCCUUCACUGGCUGUGGGGGGAACCAGGACUUUUACUGUGAAAAAAUUAGAGUGUUCAAAGCAGCCUUUGCUCGAAAUACAUUAGCAUGGCAAUAAUAGAAUAGGACGUGCGGUUCUAUUUUGUUGGUUUCUAAG
RNAcentral lists this ribosomal RNA (778 nucleotides) under Aspergillus sojae. Its description in RNAcentral is "SSU rRNA". It matches the Rfam family "Eukaryotic small subunit ribosomal RNA", at positions 68 to 855 of the family's 1831-position model. Lineage: Eukaryota; Fungi; Ascomycota; Eurotiomycetes; Eurotiales; Aspergillaceae. The record is from RNAcentral.